GUUUAACAUAGCCCAGUUGGUAGAGCAUGAGGCUCUCAAUCCCAGGGUUGUGAGUUUGAGCCCCACAUUGGGCA
Podarcis lilfordi (Lilford's wall lizard) is the source of this 74-nucleotide non-coding RNA. The record is from the annotation of a GenBank genome assembly. NCBI's taxonomy places the organism in Eukaryota, Metazoa, Chordata, Lepidosauria, Squamata, Lacertidae.